AUGAGUCAGCUGAAGGAGGAAUACCGCUCCCUGAAGGAAGACUGUCAGUCGUUGGCCAACAACAACCUGGAGCUGACCAGCAGACUCAAAAAGCUGCAGCAGGACCAGGCGCAGCAGCAGGCCAGCCGCGCUGACGACAUCUACAUGGCCCUGAAGGAGGAGCCCUCCGACGCGGAGGACCUGGUGAAGACCGACGGCUACAUCACCCUGUCCCAGGCCGAGCCCCCCCGCCAGCCCAACGCCCGGCCCGCCCGGGACCCCCCCAGCACCCCGGCGGGGGACGGCCAGGAGGUCAGCGCUCUGAAGGCCCAGCUCCGGGAGGCCGAGGAGAGGGCGCAGGAGGUCCAGAGAGAGUGUGAGGGGCUGAAGGAGGAGCUGGUGGAGCUACAGACGCUGUACGACAGCAGUCAGCGGGAGAGGGCGGGGCUUGACCAGGAGCUGCGCUGCUGCAGGGCGGAGCUUGAGGAGCUGGUGGGGCGCACGGUAAAGGGGAACAAGAGCGAGAGCUGGCAUCUGGCGGUGGCGGGGGCGGUUGCCAUGACAGCCGUGGUCGCCCUAGUGGUCUCUGGCAUCAUGCGGGCGGUGGCGUGAGCGCACGGCUAACGGAACUUUCCGGCAGCGCGACGAACGGAGUACUCUUUUUUUCCUUCAUUUUUUCUCUAUGUCACACAUUUUUUCAAAGCUACGUCGCCGCAUCAUGCUAUCGGCGCUUCAUGCUAUCGGCGCUUCAUGCUAAACAGCGCUAAUUGCUCCAGUAGGCUACGCGGCGCUAGCCGCUAACAUAGGCUACUACGCAUGGCCCCCCGAGCCUUCCAGCGUCCCCCCCGCCGUCUGUGGUCUCACGCCCGUCUUCCCGAUAUCGUCUUCAGCCCGCAGCGUAGCGGUCAGUGUGUUAUGUCGUGAGUGAACGUGUGGUAGAAGUAUGCUAGGAGGGAUUAUUAGGUCAAUUACAACAAGUGUAUGAUAGACUUUAUAUGUAGGCCUAUAAAUAUAUAUAUAUUGUAGGAUAAAACUUGUUUAUUUGAUUUUACAAAGCUGUACACAAUUUAUUUAUUUUUAGCAGUAGGCUAAGUAAUUACCGGGUGUCAUUAAAGUUAGAGUUAUGGUUGUUGAAGCAACCCAUGGUUCGCCUUAUUUUACUUUAAUGAAUUACAUCACACUUAUGAUGGAUAUAGCCCAGAAGGCCUUCUCGUUAAAUUAAAAUGCUGUGGAGUGUGAAGACUUAAGGAAAUGUUCCAAAAACUGUUACUUAUCGUGCUAUGGUGUAUAAAUCCCUACCCCUCUCUAAUCGUUACCUAUCGGCGAUUUAUAAUCCUCUCAGUCUAAAGAACAACAACUCUUGCCAGAGCUAAUAUUUAUAGCAAGUACUAACCGCAAACAAUUAUAGAAAGCGAUCUUUUUAAAGCUUUAUAAAGUCUCCAGUCUGUAGCCUAUAGGCUUACUGGAAUUCGCUAGCCCAGUUUUUGGAGGUGAAAUGCAGGGGAAUACGAAAAUGAUUUUAAUAAACAGAAUUCACUGUCAGCUUAAAGAGUAGCACUGUCCCCGUUUCUAAGGUUAUUUGCGCGUAGAUUUUCUUCAAUACAUGCCUUUUAUUAUCUCUUUUUGCGUCAAAUCUGACGUAUUUUGGCACUAGGCCUCCUAGAGUAUAGGUUCAUUGCAUACCUACGCAACAUUCAAACUCAAUAAGGCCAAUCUGUUUGUACUCAAUUCGACCACUAGAGGGUGUAAUUUGGCGCCAGAUUUGUCUGGGAACAUAAAUACCGCUAACGUCAUGUUUGUGUUUUAGAUGUAAAAUUGAAAAAAAAUAUAUAAUAAUCAAAUUCAUACAUUAAACAUACAAGUGUGGCGUGACUUAAGCUUGGACCAAUACCCAGAGCUGCCUAAAGAUUCAGAUGGAUAUUUUUGUAUGGAUUAUUUUCUGUGGGUUUUCAGUUUUCGGUUGAAGUAAUCUUUUUUAACAUUAUAAUUGUUAUUUUGAGGUGAACACAACCAUAAGGUUACCAAAAAAUACAGGACGCUGUGGCAGUACCUCUGUGGGAUCAUACCUAGUUCUCCAUGAACACAAAAUAUAGCUGAAUGUAGCCUACAAUUGUCUGCACUGCAUUGCAAACGGAGACUUUAACAAACAAUAAAGGACAUUCCAAUUUUCUAUUGAGUUCCAGCAAUAAAAUGCAAUCAAUACGACCCGACAUUUCCUACUGUUUCUACUAGCAAAUGGUGUUGAAUUUAAAAUUGUACACAACUUCCAGUUUCUUUGUUUGGCUUGGUAUUCGUCUUGUAAACAUUAGCUUAUUUGUGACAUUGGCUUCUCACCGAACACUGUAUGGCUCCUCUUCUUACAUCCCCUACAAACUCGAAUGCUGUUGUUGUUGUUGUCGUUGUUGUUAUUAUGAUCUGAUUUGCAUUCUGUUAUUUAUCUACUGUAUGACGUUAAAUUUCUGAUGGGAUUACGUGAUUAUGCUGCCAGGAUCUUCCUAGAUAGUGCACCCGAGAUAUUCUCACGGUUUUAUUCAUUUUUACCGCACGUUUUAUAAGAAUAAACCUGUCCUUGCAUGAUUUAAUCUGUACUGUUUCAUGGAUUUAGUUACUUUACGUUAUAUCUUAUUUUGGUUUGUAGCUUUCUUUUUGCUUGAAUUUGGGUGAAAUCGCACAAUUAGCACAAAGGCAUGCUUGGCUCAAUCCGAUUAUAAUCAAAUGGUCUCCUAUGGUCUCAGCUACCUUGCAUACACUUACCUUAAGGUACUCGCACAAAGGCAUACUCCAGUAAGGCCUAUGCCGUAUAUCAUGCAUCUCAGUAUCUUAUCCACUUGCUCAAGCAUUAAUGUAUCCGACAGUUAAUACUACUAAGAAAUGGAAGUAUCUCAUGCUUGUCGUCAUGUACAUCCAUCUGUAUAAUAUUCUAAACAGAUAUGUAGCAUUUGUACUGUUUUGUAAAUAGUAGAGUGAAGAUCAAGUAUAUAAAAGUAUUACUCAAAAGGAUAGGACAUUUGCACACAGUAUUUGCAUACAGCUCACUACAGUAUUUUUUUCCCCAACCACUGUGUUGUUUGCAGUAACCUUAUAGAUCCAGUCCUCGGGGAGCGCCAGACCUUCUGUGUAGACCUAUCUGUUGCAUGUUAGACCCAGAGAAGCAUCGUUGCAUGGCCCUUGAUGAGCAGAUACCCUGUGGUCGAAACAGCAUGCACGGUAAAUGCAUCUACAUUCAGUAUAUUUUACCUCAGCUGUAGGGGGAUUCAUUGAGUCGUAGAAUACAUCCACCUGCACAGAUUUGUGUUUUAUUAGUAUUACUGUCCGUCAGAUGUGUUUCCGUUGUCUAGUUUAUGUUGAUCGUAAUCUGGUGAAUGUAAUCCAAAUCUGCAGUUAUCUUUUUGUUUCCCUCUGUAUCGAAAUCUGGAACAGAUUGUUUGAGUUUUAUUUGAAUCUAUGUUUGUUAGAUCUUGUGAGUUGCCCUCCUUGCUACUUUUGGGGUAAUGUGUAGAACCCGGGCAGUGUAUAUUAACUUCCGGUAUAUCAAAUACAACUGGUUAGUGUUAAAUGAGACGUGUGUGUGUAAGUGUGUGUGUGUGUGUGUGCGUGUGUGUGUGUGUGUGUGUGUGUAGGAUAAAUCUAUGCUUGUUGUUUUGACGUUUGAAUCAAUGUGUUGUGUCGCUGUCAAAGAUGAGUCAGUCAUAUUUCUUUCUGGGAGAGAAUCAUUUUUCUUGGUUCAAGAAUACACCUGGAUUUUGUGGCAUUUGAACAAAUAUUUUUGACCCCAGGGUCAUGUUUUGACAUGGACACAGGAGGUCAUUUUUCUUUCUGUCGCUUGUUCUUUUCUGUACUUUUGAAUGUUAUUUGUGUCUGAUCCUUGUUUAAAACAAAACUUUGUCAAAAUAACUCUGUACAUUUUGUAAAUGAAACUGAAAGAUUAAAGACAUUUUAUCCUUGUG
Molecule: long non-coding RNA, 3926 nt
Filed under: Gadus morhua (Atlantic cod)
Lineage: Eukaryota; Metazoa; Chordata; Actinopteri; Gadiformes; Gadidae
Description: lncRNA (ENSGMOG00000025517.1)
Source: RNAcentral